RNAcentral lists this ribosomal RNA (1548 nucleotides) under Escherichia coli. RNAcentral's name for it is "partial 23S ribosomal RNA". It matches the Rfam family "Bacterial large subunit ribosomal RNA", at positions 337 to 1875 of the family's 2925-position model. Lineage: Bacteria; Pseudomonadati; Pseudomonadota; Gammaproteobacteria; Enterobacterales; Enterobacteriaceae. The record is from RNAcentral.
AGCGUCUGGAAAGGCGCGCGAUACAGGGUGACAGCCCCGUACACAAAAAUGCACAUGCUGUGAGCUCGAUGAGUAGGGCGGGACACGUGGUAUCCUGUCUGAAUAUGGGGGGACCAUCCUCCAAGGCUAAAUACUCCUGACUGACCGAUAGUGAACCAGUACCGUGAGGGAAAGGCGAAAAGAACCCCGGCGAGGGGAGUGAAAAAGAACCUGAAACCGUGUACGUACAAGCAGUGGGAGCCUCUUAAUGGGGUGACUGCGUACCUUUUGUAUAAUGGGUCAGCGACUUAUAUUCUGUAGCAAGGUUAACCGAAUAGGGGAGCCGAAGGGAAACCGAGUCUUAACUGGGCGCUAAGUUGCAGGGUAUAGACCCGAAACCCGGUGAUCUAGCCAUGGGCAGGUUGAAGGUUGGGUAACACUAACUGGAGGACCGAACCGACUAAUGUUGAAAAAUUAGCGGAUGACUUGUGGCUGGGGGUGAAAGGCCAAUCAAACCGGGAGAUAGCUGGUUCUCCCCGAAAGCUAUUUAGGUAGCGCCUCGUGAAUUCAUCUCCGGGGGUAGAGCACUGUUUCGGCAAGGGGGUCAUCCCGACUUACCAACCCGAUGCAAACUGCGAAUACCGGAGAAUGUUAUCACGGGAGACACACGGCGGGUGCUAACGUCCGUCGUGAAGAGGGAAACAACCCAGACCGCCAGCUAAGGUCCCAAAGUCAUGGUUAAGUGGGAAACGAUGUGGGAAGGCCCAGACAGCCAGGAUGUUGGCUUAGAAGCAGCCAUCAUUUAAAGAAAGCGUAAUAGCUCACUGGUCGAGUCGGCCUGCGCGGAAGAUGUAACGGGGCUAAACCAUGCACCGAAGCUGCGGCAGCGACACUAUGUGUUGUUGGGUAGGGGAGCGUUCUGUAAGCCUGUGAAGGUGGCCUGUGAGGGUUGCUGGAGGUAUCAGAAGUGCGAAUGCUGACAUAAGUAACGAUAAAGCGGGUGAAAAGCCCGCUCGCCGGAAGACCAAGGGUUCCUGUCCAACGUUAAUCGGGGCAGGGUGAGUCGACCCCUAAGGCGAGGCCGAAAGGCGUAGUCGAUGGGAAACAGGUUAAUAUUCCUGUACUUGGUGUUACUGCGAAGGGGGGACGGAGAAGGCUAUGUUGGCCGGGCGACGGUUGUCCCGGUUUAAGCGUGUAGGCUGGUUUUCCAGGCAAAUCCGGAAAACCAAGGCUGAGGCGUGAUGACGAGGCACUACGGUGCUGAAGCGACAAAUGCCCUGCUUCCAGGAAAAGCCUCUAAGCAUCAGGUAACAUCAAAUCGUACCCCAAACCGACACAGGUGGUCAGGUAGAGAAUACCAAGGCGCUUGAGAGAACUCGGGUGAAGGAACUAGGCAAAAUGGUGCCGUAACUUCGGGAGAAGGCACGCUGAUAUGUAGGUGAAGCGACUUGCUCGUGGAGCUGAAAUCAGUCGAAGAUACCAGCUGGCUGCAACUGUUUAUUAAAAACACAGCACUGUGCAAACACGAAAGUGGACGUAUACGGUGUGACGCCUGCCCGGUGCCGGAAG